RNAcentral lists this transfer RNA (76 nucleotides) under Escherichia coli. RNAcentral's name for it is "tRNA-Thr". It matches the Rfam family "tRNA". Rfam says of the family: Transfer RNA (tRNA) molecules are approximately 80 nucleotides in length. The record is from RNAcentral. Lineage: Bacteria; Pseudomonadati; Pseudomonadota; Gammaproteobacteria; Enterobacterales; Enterobacteriaceae.
GCUGCUAUCGCUCAGGUGGUAGACCGCACCCUUGGUAACGCUGAGGUCCCCAGUUCGACUCUGGGUAUCAGCACCA